CCACUGAUUUCAUCAAGUCAUGUAAAGGACUAGAGACUAGCUGGUCCAACCGACACAUCGUAAAUCCUCCCACUGACUUCACUAAGUCAUGAGAAGGACUAAAGACAAGUCGAUCCAACCGACAAGUCGAUCCAGAGAAUCUAAAUCAGUCAUACUGAUUAACCUUGACAACAUGGGUCAACUCGAGUCACCUAACGAUCUAAUCAACC
This 209-nucleotide long non-coding RNA is filed under the name Elaeis guineensis (African oil palm). RNAcentral's name for it is "long non-coding RNA (EGUI_LNC041459)". The record is from RNAcentral. Lineage: Eukaryota; Viridiplantae; Streptophyta; Magnoliopsida; Arecales; Arecaceae.